AUUGUUUGGUGAUGUGGUUUAUUUUGACACUAGUUAUCGCUCAAUCACAUAUGGUAUGCUUUUUGGAGCAUGGCUUGGAAUAGAAAAUAAUGGAAAAACCAUAUUUUUUGGUUGUGUUCUAUUGCAGGAAGAAACACCUCGUUCCUUUGCUUGGGCUUUGCAGGCUUUUAUCCGUCUUAUGAAGGGAAAAUGCCCACAGACAAUUCUUACUAGCCUAGAUAUGGGGCUUAAGGAUGCCAUAAGUAGUGAGUUACCCAGCACUAAGCAUGUUAUAU
Molecule: unclassified non-coding RNA, 275 nt
Filed under: Hevea brasiliensis (rubber tree)
Lineage: Eukaryota; Viridiplantae; Streptophyta; Magnoliopsida; Malpighiales; Euphorbiaceae
Source: RNAcentral